RNAcentral lists this ribosomal RNA (301 nucleotides) under uncultured bacterium. Its description in RNAcentral is "partial 16S ribosomal RNA". It matches the Rfam family "Bacterial small subunit ribosomal RNA", at positions 509 to 807 of the family's 1533-position model. The record is from RNAcentral.
CAGUAGCCACGGUAAUACGUAGGGUGCGAGCGUUAAUCGGAAUUACUGGGCGUAAAGCGAGCGCAGACGGUUAUUUAAGCAGGAUGUGAAAUCCCCGGGCUUAACCUGGGAACUGCGUUCUGAACUGGAUAGCUAGAGUGUGUCAGAGGGGGGUAGAAUUCCACGUGUAGCAGUGAGAUGCGUAGAGAUGUGGAGGAAUACCGAUGGCGAAGGCAGCCCCCUGGGAUAACACUGACGUUCAUGCUCGAGAGCGUGGGUAGCGAACAGGAUUAGAUACCCCUGUAGUCCCUGUCUCUUAUAC